AUCCAAAAAUUUUUAAAAAAAAAAUCGUUCUUCUGAGUUUGCUGAAGCCAGAUGCCGUUCCUGAGAGGG
Suricata suricatta (meerkat) is the source of this 69-nucleotide small nucleolar RNA. The record is from Ensembl. NCBI's taxonomy places the organism in Eukaryota, Metazoa, Chordata, Mammalia, Carnivora, Herpestidae.